This 329-nucleotide ribosomal RNA is filed under the name uncultured eukaryote. RNAcentral describes it as "partial 18S ribosomal RNA". It matches the Rfam family "Eukaryotic small subunit ribosomal RNA", at positions 1470 to 1796 of the family's 1831-position model. The record is from RNAcentral.
CCCUUAGAUGUUCUGGGCCGCACGCGCGCUACACUGAUGCAUUCAACGAGUCUAAAACCUGCUCUGAUAGGGGUGGGUAAUCUUUUGAAUGUGCAUCGUGAUUGGGAUAGAUGAUUGCAAUUUUUCAUCUUCAACGAGGAAUGCCUAGUAAACGCAAGUCAUCAGCUUGCAUUGAUUACGUCCCUGCCCUUUGUACACACCGCCCGUCGCUCCUACCGAUUGAAUGAUCCGAUGAAUAUCAUGGAUUGAGGAUGCAAGUAGGCUCGCCUAUCUUCAUCUUCGAGAAGUGAAGUAAAUCUUAUCAUUUAGAGGAAGGAGAAGUCGUAACA